Molecule: long non-coding RNA, 207 nt
Filed under: Elaeis guineensis (African oil palm)
Lineage: Eukaryota; Viridiplantae; Streptophyta; Magnoliopsida; Arecales; Arecaceae
Description: long non-coding RNA (EGUI_LNC051476)
Source: RNAcentral
AGUUGAUUCUUUACCAAUCAUAUCGGGUGCAGGGGUAUCCCAAAUAUAGGAGACUUUCUCCUAUGUGAGAAUAAUUCUCAAGUUUCUUAACUAGUCCACAUAAUUGGGUUCGGUCAACUUGUUGGCAUCAGAUAUACCAUGCAGUGAAAGUGAGGAUGCCAUUAUGUAGAUUAAUUUACAAUAAUAAGGAACCAAUAUAAGCAGACA